Molecule: ribosomal RNA, 253 nt
Filed under: uncultured bacterium
Lineage: Bacteria
Description: partial 16S ribosomal RNA
Rfam family: Bacterial small subunit ribosomal RNA
Source: RNAcentral
UACGAAGGGGGCUAGCGUUACUCGGAUUGACUGGGCGUAAAGGGCGCGUAGGCGGUUUGUACAGUCAGACGUGAAAUUCCUGGGCUCAACCUGGGGGCUGCGUUUGAUACGUGCAGACUAGAGUCCGGAAGAGGAGAGUGGAAUUCCUGGUGUAGCGGUGAAAUGCGCAGAUAUCAGGAAGAACACCCGUGGCUAAGGCGGCUCUCUAGUACGGUACUGACGCUGAGACGCGAAAGCGUGGGGAGCGAACAGG